This 525-nucleotide ribosomal RNA is filed under the name uncultured bacterium. RNAcentral's name for it is "bacterial SSU rRNA". It matches the Rfam family "Bacterial small subunit ribosomal RNA", at positions 980 to 1509 of the family's 1533-position model. The record is from RNAcentral.
CGUCGAACGGCUGCUGACGGCCUUUAGAAAUAGAGUUUUCCGCAAGGGACAGUAGUCGAGGUGCUGCAUGGCUGUCGUCAGCUCGUGUCGUGAGAUGUUGGGUUAAGUCCCGCAACGAGCGCAACCCUUGUCCUGUGUUGCAACUUACAGGCACUCUCAGGAGACCGCCAGCGAUAAGCUGGAGGAAGGUGGGGAUGACGUCAAGUCAUCAUGGCCUUUAUGUCCAGGGCUACACACGUGCUACAAUGGACGGUACAAACCGUCGCAAACCCGCGAGGGGGAGCAAAUCGGAAAAAACCGUUCUCAGUUCGGAUUGCAGGCUGCAACCCGCCUGCAUGAAGCUGGAAUCGCUAGUAAUGGUGUAUCAGAACGAUACCGUGAAUACGUUCCCGGGCCUUGUACACACCGCCCGUCACAUCACGAAAGUGGGUUGUACUAGAAGUCUGCGCGCCAACCGCAAGGAGGCAGCGGCCCAAGGUAUGACUCAUGAUUGGGGUGAAGUCGUAACAAGGUAGGCGUAGCGAG